This 203-nucleotide unclassified non-coding RNA is filed under the name uncultured Entoloma. Its description in RNAcentral is "sequence contains ITS2". Lineage: Eukaryota; Fungi; Basidiomycota; Agaricomycetes; Agaricales; Entolomataceae. The record is from RNAcentral.
AAUUCUCAACCUUUCUAGUUUUCUCGACUAGUUAGGCUUGGAUUUUGGAAGUUGCUGGCUCAACACGAAUCAGCUCUUCUUAAAUGUAUUAGCAGAGACCUUUGCUGACCAUCUUUGGUAUGAUAAUUAUCUAUAUCAUUGAUAACCAGUUUCCUUUAUGGAGAGGUUUUGCUUAUAAUAGUCUAUUUUAGACAAUUUGACAA